This 648-nucleotide ribosomal RNA is filed under the name uncultured Pseudomonadota bacterium. Its description in RNAcentral is "bacterial SSU rRNA". It matches the Rfam family "Bacterial small subunit ribosomal RNA", at positions 65 to 708 of the family's 1533-position model. The record is from RNAcentral. Lineage: Bacteria; Pseudomonadati; Pseudomonadota.
AACAGGAAGCAGCUUGCUGCUUUGCUGACGAGUGGCGGACGGGUGAGUAAUGUCUGGGAAACUGCCUGAUGGAGGGGGAUAACUACUGGAAACGGUAGCUAAUACCGCAUAAUGUCGCAAGACCAAAGAGGGGGACCUUCGGGCCUCUUGCCAUCGGAUGUGCCCAGAUGGGAUUAGCUGGUAGGUGGGGUAAAGGCUCACCUAGGCGACGAUCCCUAGCUGGUCUGAGAGGAUGACCAGCCACACUGGAACUGAGACACGGUCCAGACUCCUACGGGAGGCAGCAGUGGGGAAUAUUGCACAAUGGGCGCAAGCCUGAUGCAGCCAUGCCGCGUGUAUGAAGAAGGCCUUCGGGUUGUAAAGUACUUUCAGCGGGGAGGAAGGGAGUAAAGUUAAUACCUUUGCUCAUUGACGUUACCCGCAGAAGAAGCACCGGCUAACUCCGUGCCAGCAGCCGCGGUAAUACGGAGGGUGCAAGCGUUAAUCGGAAUUACUGGGCGUAAAGCGCACGCAGGCGGUUUGUUAAGUCAGAUGUGAAAUCCCCGGGCUCAACCUGGUAACUGCAUCUGAUACUGGCAAGCUUGAGUCUCGUAGAGGGGGGUAGAAUUCCAGGUGUAGCGGUGAAAUGCGUAGAGAUCUGGAGGAAUA